This 253-nucleotide ribosomal RNA is filed under the name uncultured bacterium. RNAcentral's name for it is "partial 16S ribosomal RNA". It matches the Rfam family "Bacterial small subunit ribosomal RNA", at positions 524 to 776 of the family's 1533-position model. The record is from RNAcentral.
UACGGGGGGGGUAAGCGUUGUUCGGAAUUACUGGGCGUAAAGGGCUCGUAGGCGGCCAACUAAGUCAUACGUGAAAUCCCUAAGCUUAACUGGGGAACUGCGUGUGAUACUGGAUGGCUUGGAUUUGGGAGAGGGAUGCGGAAUUCCAGGUGUAGCGGUGAAAUGCGUAGAUAUCUGGAGGAACACCGGUGGCGAAGGCGGCAUCCUGGACCAAUAUUGACGCUGAGGAGCGAAAGCCAGGGGAGCAAACGGG